Molecule: ribosomal RNA, 450 nt
Filed under: uncultured Sandaracinus sp.
Lineage: Bacteria; Pseudomonadati; Myxococcota; Polyangiales; Sandaracinaceae
Description: bacterial SSU rRNA
Rfam family: Bacterial small subunit ribosomal RNA
Source: RNAcentral
GUGAGGAAUAUUGGGCAAUGGGCGAAAGCCUGACCCAGCCACGCCGCGUGUGUGAUGAAGGCCUUCGGGUCGUAAAGCACUGUGGGGAGGGACGAACAAGCGCAUCAGGAAAUGGGUGCGCCCUGACGGUACCUCCUUAGCAAGCACCGGCUAACUCUGUGCCAGCAGCCGCGGUAAUACAGAGGGUGCGAACGUUGCUCGGAUUUACUGGGCGUAAAGCGCGUGUAGGCGGACUCGCAAGUCGGUUGUGAAAUCCCUGGGCUCAACCUAGGAACUGCAUCCGAAACUGCUUGUCUUGAGUAAUGGAGAGGGUGGCGGAAUUCCCGGUGUAGAGGUGAAAUUCGUAGAUAUCGGGAGGAACAUCAGUGGCGAAGGCGGCCACCUGGACAUUUACUGACGCUGAGACGCGAAAGCGUGGGGAGCAAACAGGAUUAGAUACCCUGGUAGUCC